UCGUGUUGCUGGACGAAGCGGGCAAGAU
Molecule: small RNA, 28 nt
Filed under: Bombyx mori (domestic silkworm)
Lineage: Eukaryota; Metazoa; Arthropoda; Insecta; Lepidoptera; Bombycidae
Description: ovarian small RNA-29328
Source: RNAcentral